Molecule: small RNA, 89 nt
Filed under: Flavobacterium sp. 5
Lineage: Bacteria; Pseudomonadati; Bacteroidota; Flavobacteriia; Flavobacteriales; Flavobacteriaceae
Description: Flavo-1 RNA
Source: RNAcentral
CCCUAGCCCUGAUGGUCGAAUUGCUCUCGCAAUUACCUUUUAUUUUUUCCUUUAAAAAAUAAAAGAUACAGCGGACAGCAGGAAAUAGC